GGUGGGGGAGAGAAAACCACAUGUAUAAGAGGUACAGAAGACACCGAGGACUAAAAAUCCAGAAGGUCAAGAGUGGAGACAGUCAAUGGCUUUUCCCAGGAGGCAGCUGGACCGGUUGACAGGAGUGGCUAUGUCCUGCAUUUUGAGAGAGAUUGGGUCAUAUCCUAGAAGUUCGGAACCACUGAGCCUGCUUUGCUGAGGUCAUACCGAUGAGCUGAUGGUAGUGUGAGAUUCCAACCCAGCAGCAACUAAGAAGACAUCCAGCAACUGAUUUUUAACAAGGAUCUUCAAAUCAGUUCUCUAGGAGGUGUGAGGAUUGCUUUCACCUAUGCAGAAACGCAAGUAUGGAGCUCUACACUGAUCGCCUCAGGAAGACAGGAUCUCUAAGUCUCACCCAGUGGCCUCUGGUGUCUCACCUUCCUUUUUCUUUUUUAAAUCCUUCCCUGACUGAUCCUAUGCCAGAAAUUUCUCCCUUUUCAUCUGCAGGGUGUCAUUGGAAAAGUCAGUGGAUUUGGGGCCUGAUAGACCCAAGUCCAACCCCUUCAGCAGGUGAGGCAGUGUAGUGCUAAUGUAACAGGGCGAGAGCCCUUCAUGGAGCUGAGGCAGCCAUGAUGGUCCCUUCUCACCCAUUCUUGCGAUCAUGCCAGAAAGAUUUCAGACAUAUCACUGAGAGUAG
Long non-coding RNA from Sciurus carolinensis (gray squirrel), 676 nucleotides. RefSeq lists it as uncharacterized. NCBI's taxonomy places the organism in Eukaryota, Metazoa, Chordata, Mammalia, Rodentia, Sciuridae. The transcript has 4 exons. The record is from RefSeq and is a predicted model, not a curated record.